This is a long non-coding RNA of Populus nigra (black poplar), 932 nucleotides long. RefSeq lists it as uncharacterized. The record is from RefSeq and is a predicted model, not a curated record. Lineage: Eukaryota; Viridiplantae; Streptophyta; Magnoliopsida; Malpighiales; Salicaceae. The transcript is spliced from 2 exons.
UUUUCAUGUUCGUCUAAUUUCUAAACCUUUUGGAUUAAAAAAAAUAAAAGUAAGAACGAGCAAAUUUACAGUUGAUACUUGAUAGCAAAUCUCUACACAAUUUACCAUAAUUUGGAGGAUUUUUUUUCCCCUCCCCUCGCUAGUGCAGGAUGACAUUCUUUAGUGCAGUAUCACGUAUGAGAUUUAAAAGUAUGGAAAUAAUUGUUUUUUAAAGUAUUUUUUAUUUAAAAAUAUAUUCUAACAUCUUUGCUUCUUUGUGUCUAUACUGUGUCGUUUGUAACAUCUGCUGACCUUGAAACAGGAUCAACUAUUACCAGGAAGGUAACCAAGUUCAUCCCCAGCUUGAUGUGUCUAUACCUUUCAGAAGAGCUCCGAUGACUUGGGCAUCGUGGGUUGAUAGACACAUUAAUCCGAGAAAGACCGAAAGUUUUCUUUCGAAGUUCGGCGCCUUCACAUUUCAGGGGCGGACAAUGGAAUUCGGGUGGGCAUUGCAAGGAAGCUACUCAACCUCUCAAUGAAACUUCAGGUAUGGGCUACCGUGAAAAGAAUUCCGUUGUAGAAGAGAUUAUCGAGCACAAGAAAACUCCAGUAACUUUCUUAAAUAUAACCAUUUUCUCUGGAUUUAGGAUAGGCGGGUAUCCAUCCAUAUAUGCUGGUAAGCGCUCGAGCAUUCAAGAUUGCAGCCACCGGUGUCUUCCUGGUGUUCUAGAUACGUGGAAUGAAUUUUUGUAUUUUCACCUGCUAUCUAAACGAGGGGUUACAUCUUAGCUUGUACAUUCUUUUAGUUUUUUCUGCAUCUUAAACUUUUAGGCAGGCAUGUAGCGUCUCAGAAACACAGGGAAACUCUCGUUUUCUUUCUUUUGCGAAGGAGGCUGAGGUGUUUGCUUGAGAUUCAAUUUAAUGGAAACUGAAAGAAAUUCAUCAUUCUGGAA